AUGAGCCCUUUAAUAUAGACAUUACACUGUGUACAAUGCUUCUCAUAAGCUUAUCGGACUACUUAGUGUACAAUGUUUCUCAUUUGGUUGUCGGUCAUUUAGUAUACAACGCUUCCCAUUGACUUGUAGGACCACAUCAUGCACUGUGCUUCUCACACAGAAUCUACUGAUUUUUUUUCCAUUUUCCUAUUGGUCCACUUAAUGUGCAGUGCUUU
Molecule: non-coding RNA, 215 nt
Organism: Pelobates cultripes (western spadefoot toad)
Lineage: Eukaryota; Metazoa; Chordata; Amphibia; Anura; Pelobatidae
Source: the annotation of a GenBank genome assembly